This 209-nucleotide ribosomal RNA is filed under the name uncultured bacterium. Its description in RNAcentral is "partial 16S ribosomal RNA". It matches the Rfam family "Bacterial small subunit ribosomal RNA", at positions 1292 to 1500 of the family's 1533-position model. The record is from RNAcentral.
UUCGGACUGUGGUCUGCAACUCGACCACACGAAGCUGGAAUCGCUAGUAAUCGCGAAUCAGCAUGUCGCGGUGAAUACGUUCCCGGGUCUUGUACACACCGCCCGUCACACCAUGGGAGUCAGCAACGCCCGAAGUCAGUGACCUAACCGAGAGGAAGGAGCUGCCGAAGGCGGGGCAGGUAACUGGGGUGAAGUCGUAACAAGGUACC